This is a long non-coding RNA of Platichthys flesus (European flounder), 254 nucleotides long. RefSeq lists it as uncharacterized. Lineage: Eukaryota; Metazoa; Chordata; Actinopteri; Pleuronectiformes; Pleuronectidae. The transcript has 3 exons. The record is from RefSeq and is a predicted model, not a curated record.
GGAAGACCCAGAGCUGAUCGCAGCAGCAAUCCUUCUACCAAAGUUUAAAACUGGCUCGACUGAGAGGACUGAUAUCAUAGAAGCAGGUCUAGUCUAUGUCAGACAACACCUUGACCGGAUGGUAGAGGCUGGGGUGGAGCAAGUUGGACAACAUUCAUCAGAUGAAGUCUUCAUACAACCCGGGACAAAAUGCUGACUCCCCCUCUCUAGUGGGCUCUCCCCAGAUACAGCCAAUAAAUGCACAGUCACAGAGU